GUUUAUAUAAUUUAUAGAGAAUAUUACAUUGAAGCUGUAAAUGAGGUUUAAAUAAUCUGUGAACA
This 65-nucleotide transfer RNA is filed under the name Jonas distinctus. RNAcentral's name for it is "tRNA-Phe". Lineage: Eukaryota; Metazoa; Arthropoda; Malacostraca; Decapoda; Corystidae. The record is from RNAcentral.